CUACCCUCAUCACUGUUCAAAGUUCAUCGCACGGUCACGACUGUCUGGUAGUAUUAUUUUUCAUUUUUUUUUUCUACAAAUCGGAAUGACCUGAAAUUUGAAGUAUGUAUACAUCUUAGUGAGGCACAUCUAAUAAAAAUAUAUAGCAAAAUAAUUCGUGAAAAGUAAUUGACCAAAACUUUGGUCAAUUUUUUUCAUGUAAAAUAUUUUUUUGAUAUUUUUUAUAGAUUCGUCUAUUUUUUACGAAUACACAUUCUAAAUUUCAGGUUAUUCCGAUUUGUAGAAAAAAAAAUGAAAAGUGAAACACUAUCGGAUAAUCGUGACAGUACGAUCAACUAUGGAUGGUGAUGAGAGUAG
This 357-nucleotide microRNA precursor is filed under the name Amborella trichopoda. RNAcentral's name for it is "miR8590 stem-loop (atr-MIR8590)". Lineage: Eukaryota; Viridiplantae; Streptophyta; Magnoliopsida; Amborellales; Amborellaceae. The record is from miRBase by way of RNAcentral.